RNAcentral lists this ribosomal RNA (300 nucleotides) under uncultured Veillonellaceae bacterium. RNAcentral's name for it is "bacterial SSU rRNA". It matches the Rfam family "Bacterial small subunit ribosomal RNA", at positions 28 to 339 of the family's 1533-position model. Lineage: Bacteria; Bacillati; Bacillota; Negativicutes; Veillonellales; Veillonellaceae. The record is from RNAcentral.
GACGAACGCUGGCGGCGUGCUUAACACAUGCAAGUCGAACGGGGACUUCGGUCCUAGUGGCGAACGGGUGAGUAAAGCGUAAAUAACCUACCUUUAAGAUGGGGACAACAACUCGAAAGGGUUGCUAAUACCGAAUGUUGUAAAUAACUCGCAUGAGGGAUUUACUAAAGAUUUAUCGCUUAAAGAGGGGUUUGCGUCCGAUUAGCUAGUUGGUGGGGUAAAGGCUUACCAAGGCGACGAUCGGUAACCGGUCUGAGAGGAUGAACGGUCACAUUGGAACUGAGACACGGUCCAGACUCC